AAGCCGCAGUUCUUCUUCUUCAGUCUCGCGCAGCCUGAGGCCCUGAGCCUCAUCUCUCUCUCGCUCUGUCUCUCUCAAUCUCUCAGGCGACUCGCGACGGUCGACAGCAAAAGUCUUGAAUCCCAGGCGACAUCGAGUUCGCGACCGGCGGACCUUUCUCACUCUCAAAUUGUCUCUGUCUCUCACACGGUUCGUCUUUGGGAUGCUCGGAGUGGAAAAUGUGCUAUAAACCUGAUGGGACGCACAUCGCCGUUGGUUAUAGGGAUGAUGAACUAACAAUUUUGGAUGUUCGGAAGUUUAAGCCGAUUCACAAGCGAAAGUUCAAUUAUGAGGAUGCGGGUUUUGUCUCUGUUUCCGCUGGAAUCCCAGGAGUUUCUUCAGAAAAAGAAAGAUCGCUAAAGUUUGGCUUAGUGUUUAUGCAAUUGUAAAAAAAUUGGCUUAGUGUUUAUGCAAAAUAAUUUUGGAGGGAGAAAUAAAAAAAAAUAAAAAAAUAAAAAAAAAAAAAAAAAACCGAAACCGAACCGAGAAAAACCGAACCGAAAAAAAACCGAACCGAAAAAAACCGAAAUAAAAUUGAACCGAACCGAAAUUUUGGUUCGGUUUCGGUUUUGAGAAAAAACCGAACCGAUGAGAACCGAACCCAG
Molecule: long non-coding RNA, 644 nt
Organism: Pyrus x bretschneideri (Chinese white pear)
Lineage: Eukaryota; Viridiplantae; Streptophyta; Magnoliopsida; Rosales; Rosaceae
Exons: 5
Source: RefSeq, a predicted model, not a curated record